GACGAACGCUGGCGGCGUGCUUAACACAUGCAAGUCGAGCGGAGCGGCGAACGGGCGAGUAACGCGUGAGUAACUGCCCCCCUCUCUGGGAUAACAGUUGGAAACGGCUGCUAAUACCGGAUAGUGGGGGAUGACUCGCGUCCUAUCAGCUUGUUGGUGGGGUAGUGGCCUACCAAGGCGACGACGGGUAGCCGGCCUGGGAGGGCGACCGGCCCCAUUGGGCUGAGAGAGGGCCCAAUCGCGUACGGGAGGCAGCGGGGGGGAAUAGUGCACAAUGGGGGAGACCCUGAUGCAGCAACGCCGCGUGCGUGAUGCCGGCCUUCGGGUUGUAAACCGCUUUCAGCCAUGACGCGGUAGUGGCAGAAGAAGCACCGGCUAACUACGUGCCAGCAGCCGCGGUAAUUC
Molecule: ribosomal RNA, 405 nt
Filed under: uncultured bacterium
Lineage: Bacteria
Description: partial 16S ribosomal RNA
Rfam family: Bacterial small subunit ribosomal RNA
Source: RNAcentral